UUCCAAAUAUGUUAAUGCAACCAUCAGUAUUUUCCAGUAAUUACAAAAUCAGUCAUUUUUAAUAGUUGUUCCUUAUUAACAACAAAUCAUUAUAACACAAAUGUUGAUCAACCAUCAGAGCAAAGACAGAUUCAUUUGCAGCACAUCAGACAGUUUGCUUGAUAGACAAGCACUGGCUGCAACAAUCAGGAAAGAACAGUCGGAGAGGCAUUUUUGUAAACUUGGGUCCAUUGGUCACAUAAUAUAUUUCAGAUUUCAAACACCCCUGGGAAGACGUACAGUGAAACAGUAUUUGCCCCCUUUCUGAUUUUUCUCUACUGUUGCAUAUUUUUAUACUGACUGUUAGCAGGUCUUCAACCAAAACCUAAUAUUAGAUAAAGGGAACCUGAGUUUACAAAGAACAGUCAUUUUAUUUAUUUAAUUAACAAAUGGGACCCAUGUCAUCCCAAAAAUUAUACUUUUCAAUCAUCUGUCCAUAGAACAUUCUUCCAGAAGUCUUGAUGAUCGUCAUUUUGGCAAACUUGAGUAAACUUUUUGGACAUGGGUUCCAUUAUGGGGUGGCAGGUAGCCUAGUGGUUAGAGCGUUGGGCCAGUAACCAGCAGGUAGCCUAGUGGUUAGAGCGUUGGGCCAGUAACCAGCAGGUAGCCUAGUGGUUAGAGCGUUGGGCCAGUAAUCAGCAGGUAGCCUAGUGGUUAGAGCGUUGGGCCAGUAAUCAGCAGGUAGCCUAGUGGUUAGAGCGUUGGGCCAGUAAUCAGCAGGUAGCCUAGUGGUUAGAGUGUUGGGCCAGUAACCAGCAGGUAGCCUAGUGGUUAGAGCGUUGGGCCAGUAACCAGCAGGUAGCCUAGUGGUUAGAGCAUUGGACCAGUAACCAGCAGGUAGCCUAGUGGUUAGAGCAUUGGGCCAGUAACCAGCAGGUAGCCUAGUGGUUAGAGCGUUGGGCCAGUAACCAGCAGGUAGCCUAGUGGUUAGAGCGUUGGGCCAGUAAUCAGCAGGUAGCCUAGUGGUUAGAGCGUUGGGCCAGUAACCAGCAGGUAGCCUAGUGGUUAGAGCGUUGGGCCAGUAACCAGCAGGUAGCCUAGUGGUUAGAGCGUUGGGCCAGUAACCAGCAGGUAGCCUAGUGGUUAGAGCGUUGGGCCAGUAACCAGCAGGUAGCCUAGUGGUUAGAGCGUUGGGCCAGUAACCAGCAGGUAGCCUAGUGGUUAGAGUGUUGGGUCAGUAACCAGCAGGUAGCCUAGUGGUUAGAGCGUUGGACCAGUAACCAGCAGGUAGCCUAGUGGUUAGAGCGUUGGACCAGUAACCAGCAGGUAGCCUAGUGGUUAGAGCAUUGGGCCAGUAACCAGCAGGUAGCCUAGUGGUUAGAGCAUUGGACCAGUAACCAGCAGGUAGCCUAGUGGUUAGAGCGUUGGGCCAGUAACCAGCAGGUUGCUAGAUUGAACACCCGAGCUGACAAGGUAUAAAUCUGUCAUUCUGUCCCUGAACAAGGCAGUUAACCCACUGUUUCUUGGCCGUCGUUUAAAAUAAGAAUUUGUUCUUAACUGACUUGCCUGGUUAAACAAAAUUGUUUUUAUGCCUGGCAAAAACUAAACACUGCAUUCCACAGUAAGAACCUCAUACCAACGGUCAAGCAUGGUGGUGGCAGUGUGAUGGUUUGGGGUCAGCAUGGUGGUGGUAGUGUGAUGGUUUGGGGUCAGCAUGGUGGUGGUAGUGGGAUGGUUUGGGGUCAGCAUGGUGGUGGUAGUGUGAUGGUUUGGGGUCAGCAUGGUGGUGGUAGUGUGAUGGUUUGGGGUCAGCAUGGUGGUGGCAGUGUGAUGGUUUGGGGAUGCUUUGCUACCUCAGGACCUGGACGACUUGCCUUAAUAGUAGGGAACCAUGAAUUCUGCUCUGUAUCAGAGAAUUCUACAGGAGGAUGUCAGGCCGUCCGUCUGUGAGCUGAAACUGAAGUGCAGCUGGGUCAUGCAGCAAGAUAAUGAUUAAAAACACAAGUCUACAUAAAAAUGGCUAAAGAGCAACACAUUUGAAGAUUGGAAUGGCCUAGUCAAAGUUUAGACCUAAUCCCUAGUCCCAAUUGAGAUGUUGUGGCAGGACUUGAAAAGAGCAUUUCAUGCUUGAAAACCCACACAUUGCUGAAUUAAAGCAGUUCCGCAUGGAAGAGUGGGACAGAAUUCCUCCACAGCGACGUGAGAGACUGAUCAACAACUACAGGAAGUGUUUGGUUGGAGUCGUUGCAGCUAAAGGUGGACUGAUCAACAACUACAGGAAGUGUUUGGUUGGAGUCGUUGCAGCUAAAGGUGGACUGAUCAACAACUACAGGAAGUGUUUGGUUGGAGUCGUUGCAGCUAAAGGUGGACUGAUCAACAACUACAGGAAGUGUUUGGUUGGAGUCGUUGCAGCUAAAGGUGGACUGAUCAACAACUACAGGAAGUGUUUGGUUGGAGUCGUUGCAGCUGAAGGAGGCACAACCAGUUAUUGAGUAUAAGGGGACAAUCACUUUUUCACACAGGGGAAUUUGGUGUUGCAUAACUUUGUUUAUGAAAUAAAUUAAAUAAAGAAUGUAAUUGUUGUGUUAUUUGUUCACUCAGGUUUCCUUUAUCUAAUAUUAGGUUUUGGUUGAAGAUCUGAUAACAUUCAGUGUCAAAAAUAUGCAAAAGAAGAGAAAACUAAAAAGGGGGAAAAUACUUUAUCACGGGAACAACGGCCACUAAAACACCCUUCUACCAUAGUAAAACACCCUUCUACCAUAGUAAAACACCCUUCUACCAUAGUAAAACACCUUUCUACCAUAGUAAAACACCCUUCUACCAUAGUAAAACACCCUUCUACCAUAGUAAAA
Long non-coding RNA from Oncorhynchus tshawytscha (Chinook salmon), 2831 nucleotides. Lineage: Eukaryota; Metazoa; Chordata; Actinopteri; Salmoniformes; Salmonidae. The record is from Ensembl.